Molecule: non-coding RNA, 46 nt
Filed under: Trichobilharzia regenti
Lineage: Eukaryota; Metazoa; Platyhelminthes; Trematoda; Strigeidida; Schistosomatidae
Source: RNAcentral
GUACUGCUGAAGACUCCAAAACUAGGACGAAACAGCUGUCCAGUAC